GAGGGUACAGCUCAGUGGCAGAGCGCAUGCUUAGCAUGCACGAGGUCCUGGGUCCCAUCCUCAGUACCUCCA
Molecule: transfer RNA, 72 nt
Organism: Camelus ferus (Wild Bactrian camel)
Lineage: Eukaryota; Metazoa; Chordata; Mammalia; Artiodactyla; Camelidae
Rfam family: tRNA
About the family: Transfer RNA (tRNA) molecules are approximately 80 nucleotides in length.
Source: Rfam